RNAcentral lists this long non-coding RNA (702 nucleotides) under Homo sapiens (human). RNAcentral's name for it is "non-protein coding LNCARSR:15". The record is from RNAcentral. Lineage: Eukaryota; Metazoa; Chordata; Mammalia; Primates; Hominidae.
UCACCCAGGUGCAAGCCCAGAGGCAGUCUAUACCCCAACUCAACUGGCUGGUCCUCAAUGCUGCCUGCUUCCGUGCCCAACUUAGAACUACACAUCUGCUGCCUCUUGGUAACAUGUCAUUAUAAGGCUUCUUCAUCAGCCCUAACCCUGCCAACCACUCCUGCCUCACUGAAUGUGCCAACGGAUUGCUCAGCUCCAACCAAGGAAAAGAAGAAGGAAGUUGGAUACUUUAUACCCUCUACAUUGUCCAUUAGCAACACAACCUAGAGCUAGGAUGGAGAAAGAAAAUGCCAAAAUGCUAAUGAAAAAUGUUCAGAUGUAUCACAUAUUAAGCAUACAUGAUCUCAAAUAUUUUGCCUGAUUUAUGCUAUGCAUGCUAUUUUCCAUGUUGUGUAGGCUCUGAUGCUAGUCUACAUUUACAGAAAUCUCCAUCAGCUGUACAAAUGGCAAUUUAAAUACAUUUAACUAUGUGCUAAUAAUCUCAUAAUACAAUUUAUCAUGUAUGAUUGGCAGAAGAAAUUAUUUGGGGCAAAAGCUAUGAUUGUAUUGUUGUAAGUUAUUAUGAAUGCUGGGCAGUGUAGGGCAUGGCACUUGCUACCACCUCCCAGAAAUGUGUAAGGGCUGUUGAAGGUGCCUUGUUCUUCUUUCUUCUUCAAUAUAAGCAAAGCUAUUUAUAUCAUAAAGCUGAAACUUGAAAUUCCA